This 461-nucleotide ribosomal RNA is filed under the name uncultured bacterium. RNAcentral describes it as "bacterial SSU rRNA". It matches the Rfam family "Bacterial small subunit ribosomal RNA", at positions 340 to 786 of the family's 1533-position model. The record is from RNAcentral.
UACGGAAGGCAGCAGUGGGGAAUAUUGCACAAUGGGCGAAAGCCUGAUGCAGCUAUGCCGCGUGUAUGAAGAAGGCCUUAGGGUUGUAAAGUACUUUCAGUCGGGGAAGGAAAAACAAAACUAAUAAUUUUAUUUCUCGACGUUAACCCGAAAAGAAGCACCGGCUAACUCCGUGCCAGCAGCCGCGGUAAUACGGGAGGGUGCUAGCGUUAAUCAGAAUUACUGGGCGUAAAGAGCACGUAGGUUGGUUUUUUUAAGUCAGAUGUGAAAUCCCUGGGCUUAACCUAGGAAACUGCAUUUUGAAACUGAAAUACUAGAGUAUCGUAGAGGGAGGUAGAAUUCUAGGUGUAGCGGUGAAAUGCGUAGAUAUCUGGAGGAAUACCUGUGGCGAAAGCGGCCUCCUAAACGAAUACUGACACUGAGGUGCGAAAAGCGUGGGGAGCAAACAGGGAUUAGAUACC